This 2932-nucleotide ribosomal RNA is filed under the name Escherichia coli. RNAcentral describes it as "23S ribosomal RNA". It matches the Rfam family "Bacterial large subunit ribosomal RNA". Lineage: Bacteria; Pseudomonadati; Pseudomonadota; Gammaproteobacteria; Enterobacterales; Enterobacteriaceae. The record is from RNAcentral.
GGGUUGUGAGGUUAAGCGACUAAGCGUACACGGUGGAUGCCCUGGCAGUCAGAGGCGAUGAAGGACGUGCUAAUCUGCGAUAAGCGUCGGUAAGGUGAUAUGAACCGUUAUAACCGGCGAUUUCCGAAUGGGGAAACCCAGUGUGUUUCGACACACUAUCAUUAACUGAAUCCAUAGGUUAAUGAGGCGAACCGGGGGAACUGAAACAUCUAAGUACCCCGAGGAAAAGAAAUCAACCGAGAUUCCCCCAGUAGCGGCGAGCGAACGGGGAGCAGCCCAGAGCCUGAAUCAGUGUGUGUGUUAGUGGAAGCGUCUGGAAAGGCGCGCGAUACAGGGUGACAGCCCCGUACACAAAAAUGCACAUGCUGUGAGCUCGAUGAGUAGGGCGGGACACGUGGUAUCCUGUCUGAAUAUGGGGGGACCAUCCUCCAAGGCUAAAUACUCCUGACUGACCGAUAGUGAACCAGUACCGUGAGGGAAAGGCGAAAAGAACCCCGGCGAGGGGAGUGAAAAAGAACCUGAAACCGUGUACGUACAAGCAGUGGGAGCACGCUUAGGCGUGUGACUGCGUACCUUUUGUAUAAUGGGUCAGCGACUUAUAUUCUGUAGCAAGGUUAACCGAAUAGGGGAGCCGAAGGGAAACCGAGUCUUAACUGGGCGUUAAGUUGCAGGGUAUAGACCCGAAACCCGGUGAUCUAGCCAUGGGCAGGUUGAAGGUUGGGUAACACUAACUGGAGGACCGAACCGACUAAUGUUGAAAAAUUAGCGGAUGACUUGUGGCUGGGGGUGAAAGGCCAAUCAAACCGGGAGAUAGCUGGUUCUCCCCGAAAGCUAUUUAGGUAGCGCCUCGUGAAUUCAUCUCCGGGGGUAGAGCACUGUUUCGGCAAGGGGGUCAUCCCGACUUACCAACCCGAUGCAAACUGCGAAUACCGGAGAAUGUUAUCACGGGAGACACACGGCGGGUGCUAACGUCCGUCGUGAAGAGGGAAACAACCCAGACCGCCAGCUAAGGUCCCAAAGUCAUGGUUAAGUGGGAAACGAUGUGGGAAGGCCCAGACAGCCAGGAUGUUGGCUUAGAAGCAGCCAUCAUUUAAAGAAAGCGUAAUAGCUCACUGGUCGAGUCGGCCUGCGCGGAAGAUGUAACGGGGCUAAACCAUGCACCGAAGCUGCGGCAGCGACGCUUAUGCGUUGUUGGGUAGGGGAGCGUUCUGUAAGCCUGCGAAGGUGUGCUGUGAGGCAUGCUGGAGGUAUCAGAAGUGCGAAUGCUGACAUAAGUAACGAUAAAGCGGGUGAAAAGCCCGCUCGCCGGAAGACCAAGGGUUCCUGUCCAACGUUAAUCGGGGCAGGGUGAGUCGACCCCUAAGGCGAGGCCGAAAGGCGUAGUCGAUGGGAAACAGGUUAAUAUUCCUGUACUUGGUGUUACUGCGAAGGGGGGACGGAGAAGGCUAUGUUGGCCGGGCGACGGUUGUCCCGGUUUAAGCGUGUAGGCUGGUUUUCCAGGCAAAUCCGGAAAAUCAAGGCUGAGGCGUGAUGACGAGGCACUACGGUGCUGAAGCAACAAAUGCCCUGCUUCCAGGAAAAGCCUCUAAGCAUCAGGUAACAUCAAAUCGUACCCCAAACCGACACAGGUGGUCAGGUAGAGAAUACCAAGGCGCUUGAGAGAACUCGGGUGAAGGAACUAGGCAAAAUGGUGCCGUAACUUCGGGAGAAGGCACGCUGAUAUGUAGGUGAAGUCCCUUGCGGAUGGAGCUGAAAUCAGUCGAAGAUACCAGCUGGCUGCAACUGUUUAUUAAAAACACAGCACUGUGCAAACACGAAAGUGGACGUAUACGGUGUGACGCCUGCCCGGUGCCGGAAGGUUAAUUGAUGGGGUUAGCGGUAACGCGAAGCUCUUGAUCGAAGCCCCGGUAAACGGCGGCCGUAACUAUAACGGUCCUAAGGUAGCGAAAUUCCUUGUCGGGUAAGUUCCGACCUGCACGAAUGGCGUAAUGAUGGCCAGGCUGUCUCCACCCGAGACUCAGUGAAAUUGAACUCGCUGUGAAGAUGCAGUGUACCCGCGGCAAGACGGAAAGACCCCGUGAACCUUUACUAUAGCUUGACACUGAACAUUGAGCCUUGAUGUGUAGGAUAGGUGGGAGGCUUUGAAGUGUGGACGCCAGUCUGCAUGGAGCCGACCUUGAAAUACCACCCUUUAAUGUUUGAUGUUCUAACGUUGACCCGUGAUCCGGGUUGCGGACAGUGUCUGGUGGGUAGUUUGACUGGGGCGGUCUCCUCCUAAAGAGUAACGGAGGAGCACGAAGGUUGGCUAAUCCUGGUCGGACAUCAGGAGGUUAGUGCAAUGGCAUAAGCCAGCUUGACUGCGAGCGUGACGGCGCGAGCAGGUGCGAAAGCAGGUCAUAGUGAUCCGGUGGUUCUGAAUGGAAGGGCCAUCGCUCAACGGAUAAAAGGUACUCCGGGGAUAACAGGCUGAUACCGCCCAAGAGUUCAUAUCGACGGCGGUGUUUGGCACCUCGAUGUCGGCUCAUCACAUCCUGGGGCUGAAGUAGGUCCCAAGGGUAUGGCUGUUCGCCAUUUAAAGUGGUACGCGAGCUGGGUUUAGAACGUCGUGAGACAGUUCGGUCCCUAUCUGCCGUGGGCGCUGGAGAACUGAGGGGGGCUGCUCCUAGUACGAGAGGACCGGAGUGGACGCAUCACUGGUGUUCGGGUUGUCAUGCCAAUGGCACUGCCCGGUAGCUAAAUGCGGAAGAGAUAAGUGCUGAAAGCAUCUAAGCACGAAACUUGCCCCGAGAUGAGUUCUCCCUGACUCCUUGAGAGUCCUGAAGGAACGUUGAAGACGACGACGUUGAUAGGCCGGGUGUGUAAGCGCAGCGAUGCGUUGAGCUAACCGGUACUAAUGAACCGUGAGGCUUAACCUUACAACGCCGAAGCUGUU